GACGAACGCUGGCGGCGUGCUUAACACAUGCAAGUCGAGCGAGAACCCGGGGCUUGCCCGGGGAAGGACGGCGAACGGGUGCGUACCACGUGGGCGAACCUGCCCCACGACACUGGGAGUAACUCCGGGAAACCGGGGCGUAAUACCGGAUACUCCGGCCGAACCGCAUGAUCCGGCCGGGAAAGCUCCGACGGUCUGGGAUGGGCUCGCGGCCUAUCAGCUUGUUGGUGGGGUAACGGCCUACCAAGGCUUCGAC
RNAcentral lists this ribosomal RNA (256 nucleotides) under uncultured bacterium. RNAcentral's name for it is "partial 16S ribosomal RNA". It matches the Rfam family "Bacterial small subunit ribosomal RNA", at positions 28 to 280 of the family's 1533-position model. The record is from RNAcentral.